UAAAAUUAAAAAAUUUAGGCGGUAUUUUAGUCUUUUCAGAGGAACCUGUUCUAUAAUUGAUAGUCCACGAUUAAUUUUACUUGUUUUAUAAAUUUAUAUAUCGUCGUAGUUUGAAUGUUUUAUAAAAAAUUGAAUGUUCAAGAUUUUAUUAUAAAAAAAAAUCAGAUCAAGGUGUAGUUAAUAGAUAAGAAGAAAUGGGUUACAAUUAAAUUAUUAUUGGAUAAAUUUAUGAAUAUGAAUUUUGAAAAAGGAUUUGAAAGUAAUUUUAAAUAUUUUUUAAAAUGAUUUGAGCUCUAAAAUAUGCACAUAUUGCCCGUCGCUCUCAUUUUAAGAUGAGAUAAGUCGUAACAAAGUAGAUUUACUGGAAAGUGAAUCUAGAAG
RNAcentral lists this ribosomal RNA (381 nucleotides) under Scrobiger albocinctus. RNAcentral's name for it is "partial 12S ribosomal RNA". Lineage: Eukaryota; Metazoa; Arthropoda; Insecta; Coleoptera; Cleridae. The record is from RNAcentral.